CUAUACUAAAAGGAGGAUAUAUUGAUCAGAGAGGAUGUCCACGUCAGAUCAAAAAAACAGCCAAUCAUAUGCUUUUAACUUACCACGUCAGCUCAUUCAUUUUCUUAACACAAUCUUAUCGUCUCUUCCUCAAAUAUUUGUCGGUGACUUUUCCUUUGCACUCUACGGCGUCGAAGUCUUCGCCGAUCGACCUCCCCACUAUCAAGAUCAAUAACUGUAUCAUUCAAAACAAUACCCUCUUCAACUUCUUCCCUUUCCCCAACCUAGCUAUAUAUACAGUGAGAUUCAAGACCAAAGUUCCUCACAUCCUUAUCCCCGAAAGCACCAGCGUGAUUGAACUCCAAGGGUAAAGCACGACCAUGAUAUCAGGUCAGAUCAACCAUUGGGAUGAAGUUGUUGUCACAAACGGCCUUCAGAUGGAUGAGGACGAGGAUGAUAAUGAGGAAGAUGACCAAGAAGUAGAUCACCGAAAUAGAGCAAAUAAAAACGGUAUAUGUGGUUAAACGACUGCUCUCUGUUUAUAUUAUAAAACUAAAACCACGAAAUCUGAUUUUGGUGGUUUCACUUUUUUUUAUUCUUUUAUUGCAGUCAUCAGCUGGGAUGUUGGGUUAGUGUAUGCGGAACCACGAAGGUUUGUUAAUAUUAGUUUCUGACUUUAUAUUACAAAAUUUAUAUUUUCUUUUCCUUGACACAAAGAGAUUAAGAAUUCAAGGUUAACAUCAACGAUUUAUAGUUGCAACUUGACAGACAGUGACUGAAGAAGACUGGACUAUGCAUGACUUCUUGGCCCAAUCAUCCUGCAAUGAUCAAGGUGAGAUGCUCAGAGGUGUCAACUGUUUCAUUUUGUUAUAAGUGUGGUGUAUAUACACUACUCCCAAACGUAUCUGAUUAUUUUUCAUGUUUGCUCAUUCCAAAAGGUAUUCCUUGGAAACAACAGUGUUUGCGAUGUAGAAAACCAUGAGCUGACGAAGGCUGGUUUAUCUUCUUGUGAGACCUGGAUUUGACUAUCAUAAGAAGGCUGGCGCCAUGAAUUCGUUGGUAAAUAAUUAUGCUUAAUCCUUGAUUGUAUAUUUUAAACUGAUAUAUAAUGGUCUCUCGCAAACUUAUUGAUUCUUUCGUCUUUUCAUGUUCUAUAUAUUCAAUUGAAGAUAGGAGUCUCGGGGUUUCUAUCAAUUGUGCCUUAUUCUUUUUAAUGUCGACUGUGAUCACUACAUCUACAAUAGCAAAAAUCUAAGAGAAGCAAUGUGUUUCGUGGUGGCUUCUAAGUUGGGAAAGAAGAUUUGUUAUGAUCACUACCCUCAAAGAUUCGAUGGGAUCGGUAGACACGACAGAUACAGUAAUGGCAGCGUUGUAUUUUACGAUGUAAGUACACAAAACUUCGACCACCAGAUUCACCACCUUCCUUAUCUUAGGUCAUAACCUAAGUCUUACUAAUCUUAAUUGCUUCUUUAUCUUGAGCCAUAACCUAUGUCUUAGUAAUCUUAAUUGCUUCCUUAUCUUGAGUCAUAACCUAUGUCUUAGUAAUCUUACACUCUCACUACGGCACUGUUUUUUUUUUUGCUACCAUUAGCUUCAUUGAAAGAAAAAAGAACAAUAGCAUCGGUGUUGGAGCUUCGCACGAGCCACUGAAGUGAUUUUUUUAACGGACCCAAAUACGUUUUUAUCGGCCAGCUUACCUUAAUUACUAAUAUACUAUUUGAAGCACUUGAAAGUUGAGCCUACAGAUCCAAAACAAGGCUUUCUUGAUUUUUGUUAUCCCCGACGACAAAGAGACAUUUCUUACGUAAGAAAUGUACUAUGUAUUAUCUCUAGACAUUUCUGCAAUAUUUUUUGAGGAGGUAGGAAAUGGGGAACCUGAGUUUAGAAACUCGGACUUACAGCUCGGGCUUGCAUCUCUUGAAAAAGUGUCUCUGAACAUUGCUAGACGGGCUGAACAAGAAAGUGCAACCGCUGCAAGAACCAUGGUCACCCUCGAUUUAGAAUCUGGCAUCUCACUUAAAGGGAAUUCCAAUAGCAAAUAUAAAUAUAAAAUGCAACGCAGAUGAAGAAUUCCACUAAAUUAUAUGAUCAUUGUAGAUAUAGAUAUGGAUACCAGUGGGAGCCAGAUUUGGUGGGAUCCUUGACACCAAACGCAGAAAAUUCAAUUGGAGUAAUGGUUGAAGUUUACUGGCAACAAGAUGGGUCGGGGUAGAUGGCAAUAGUCCACAUCUUCACAUUGAGUUUUGUGAUUGUUCAAUGUGACAAAAAUAUCGCAAUGUAUACAUGUUACAGACACAAGUUCGUGACUGACCUUUUUAUGAUAGGUUUUGUCUUUCUCAACAGUUAUAUGAACCUAUAGAAGAUGUCAAAUAAUCUAACAAAAUAACUUUAACUCUUUAAUUUAGUAGAUAAGUAAAUAAGCUGCAUGAUUUUUUUAUGUUUUUCUGCCCGGCAGUAUCAUGUUUUGUUGAAAUAUAUACUUUAUCUUUUUGUAUUUAAAUUGAUGUUACAAGUUUUUCACAUAUAAUAAAUAAUUUUAAUUGUUUUGGGUUUUGUUUUACUAUUUAUUUAAAAAUAAAAAAUAAAACGCAUUAAUAAAAAUCAAUAUAAAGAAAUAUGCAUCAUCAUUUUAAAAAAUACAAAAGAGUAGUAUUUUCCUUCAUAGAUCUCUAAUGAUUUUAAGUAUAUAUAAUUAAAGGGACAAAAGCUACUAAAAAGACAUUCUAAUAUUAGUCAAAAAAUUUUAUAAUAUUAAUAAUUUUAUUUAAUAUUUUUGCAACUGACUAUUUUCGAUCAUAUUAUUUAAAAAUCAGAGAUAAAUGAUUAAAGGCAAGUUAUGUAAUUUCAUAAUGACCAACACAAGGAAAUUUUGGAGGAAAUUGAUGAAAUUUCAUUUUAUGGUAUUUAUAAAUGACAAAAUACAUGCAAAUUUUUAGAUAAUCAUAAAGUAUGAAUGAUCGGAAAAACCAAUUCCUCGAUAACAAACAUUAACAGGAAAUAACUAAAG
This is a long non-coding RNA of Brassica rapa (field mustard), 2986 nucleotides long. RefSeq lists it as uncharacterized. NCBI's taxonomy places the organism in Eukaryota, Viridiplantae, Streptophyta, Magnoliopsida, Brassicales, Brassicaceae. The record is from RefSeq and is a predicted model, not a curated record.